This 661-nucleotide ribosomal RNA is filed under the name Prevotella sp. HGA0222. RNAcentral's name for it is "bacterial SSU rRNA". It matches the Rfam family "Bacterial small subunit ribosomal RNA", at positions 74 to 733 of the family's 1533-position model. The record is from RNAcentral. Lineage: Bacteria; Pseudomonadati; Bacteroidota; Bacteroidia; Bacteroidales; Prevotellaceae.
CUUGCUUCCUCGGGCGUCGACCGGCGCACGGGUGAGUAACGCGUAUCCAACCUGCCUCUGACUGAGGGAUAACCCGUCGAAAGUCGGCCUAAUACCUCAUGGCAUCGUCUGCGGGCAUCCAACGACGAUUAAAGAUUUCAUCGGUCAGGGAUGGGGAUGCGUCUGAUUAGCUUGUUGGCGGGGUAACGGCCCACCAAGGCUACGAUCAGUAGGGGUUCUGAGAGGAAGGUCCCCCACAUUGGAACUGAGACACGGUCCAAACUCCUACGGGAGGCAGCAGUGAGGAAUAUUGGUCAAUGGGCGGGAGCCUGAACCAGCCAAGUAGCGUGCAGGAUGACGGCCCUAUGGGUUGUAAACUGCUUUUAUGCGGGGAUAAAGUGAGGGACGUGUCCUUCAUUGCAGGUACCGCAUGAAUAAGGACCGGCUAAUUCCGUGCCAGCAGCCGCGGUAAUACGGAAGGUCCGGGCGUUAUCCGGAUUUAUUGGGUUUAAAGGGAGCGUAGGCCGUGGAUUAAGCGUGUUGUGAAAUGCAGGUGCUCAACGUCUGCACUGCAGCGCGAACUGGUCCACUUGAGUGUGCGCAACGCANGCGGAAUUCGUCGUGUAGCGGUGAAAUGCUUAGAUAUGACGAAGAACUCCGAUUGCGAAGGCAGCUUGCGGGA